This 73-nucleotide transfer RNA is filed under the name Candidatus Woesebacteria bacterium. Its description in RNAcentral is "tRNA-OTHER". It matches the Rfam family "tRNA". Rfam says of the family: Transfer RNA (tRNA) molecules are approximately 80 nucleotides in length. Their secondary structure includes four short double-helical elements and three loops (D, anti-codon, and T loops). Lineage: Bacteria; Candidatus Woeseibacteriota. The record is from RNAcentral.
GGCGCCGUGGCCAAGUGGCAAGGCACAGGCUUAAGCAAUACCUGGAUCCGAGGUUCGAAUCCUUGCGGCGCCU